CCUGGGCUACGCACGUGCUACAAUGGUUGGUACAACGAGUUGCGAGUCGGUGACGGCGAGCUAAUCUCUUAAAGCCAAUCUCAGUUCGGAUUGUAGGCUGCAACUCGCCUACAUGAAGUCGGAAUCGCUAGUAAUCGCGGAUCAGCACGCCGCGGUGAAUACGUUCCCGGGCCUU
This 175-nucleotide ribosomal RNA is filed under the name uncultured Streptococcus sp. RNAcentral describes it as "partial 16S ribosomal RNA". It matches the Rfam family "Bacterial small subunit ribosomal RNA", at positions 1208 to 1382 of the family's 1533-position model. The record is from RNAcentral. Lineage: Bacteria; Bacillati; Bacillota; Bacilli; Lactobacillales; Streptococcaceae.